ACUCCUACGGGAGGCAGCAGUGGGAAUAUUGCACAAUGGGCGCAAGCCUGAUGCAGCCAUGCCGCGUGUAUGAAGAAGGCCUUCGGGUUGUAAAGUACUUUCAGCAGUGAGGAAGGUGGGUAUGUUAAUAGCAUAUUCUAUUUGUACGUUAGCUGCAGAAGAAGCACCGGCUAACUCCGUGCCAGCAGCCGCGGUAAUACGGAGGGUGCGAGCGUUAAUCGGAAUUACUGGGCGUAAAGCGCAUGCAGGUGGUUGUUAAGUCAGAUGUGAAAGCCCGGGGCUCAACCUCGGAAUUGCAUUUGAAACUGGCAAACUAGAGUACUGUAGAGGGGGUAGAAUUUCAGGUGUAGCGGUGAAAUGCGUAGAGAUCUGAAGGAUACCGGU
This 384-nucleotide ribosomal RNA is filed under the name uncultured bacterium. RNAcentral describes it as "bacterial SSU rRNA". It matches the Rfam family "Bacterial small subunit ribosomal RNA", at positions 335 to 713 of the family's 1533-position model. The record is from RNAcentral.